GAAGUCAAGGAGUCAGAUACCCAUACCUCAAGUGAGAGGUCUAAUUCUCAAGAUCAAUCUAGUGGCAGUACUGAAUCUGAAGGUGAAGAAGAUGUUACCUCCUCAGACUAAGUUGUUAUGAAGACUGGUCCCCUGUUGGUUUGGCUGUUUUGGAUGCUGGAUAAUUUGAUGUUUUUUUCUGGUUAAUGUUUGUAAUUUUUGGCAGUCCUUACUGAUGCCUUGAUGUAAUAUUUGGG
This 236-nucleotide long non-coding RNA is filed under the name Lathyrus oleraceus (garden pea). RNAcentral's name for it is "Pisum sativum (pea) long non-coding RNA (PSAT_LNC019770)". The record is from RNAcentral. Lineage: Eukaryota; Viridiplantae; Streptophyta; Magnoliopsida; Fabales; Fabaceae.